GUAAAGGGGAAAUUCCUAUGGGCCUCACUAACUGAGCCCAAGACCUCAUCUCUGUUGACUUGUCCAAGUCAACAGAGUUUGAAACUCCAUUCAUCGCACGCUUUCACACUGUCCACCUCACUAUGCCUCCGUCGUGAAACACCGCGUCGGCGUCUGUCGCCGGUGCCUGUAGUGGCCUAACACUAAGAUAUUACCACCACCGGAUGCACCAUGAUAAGCUAAACACGAAUACGGGACUGGAUUUGGGAGAUGGUUCUCGGAUUGGUCGAAUCGAGCCUAAACAGUGGAAGAACCCUAGAUCUCUAAUCUUAAAUUAAAUGGAGUGCAUCACGAAUUAAUCUCUAAUACCAAAGGACUUUCACUCCCUAGCCUCAAAGCUACACUCCAAUAUGCUCAAUGUAAGAAAACGUUACAGAAGGUAGAUGGACUUACCGGAGAAGACGAUCAGAAACUUCAACAGGGUCUAUGUCGUGGAGCGUCGGUACCUGGAACUGCCUGAUUAUUGACGCGAUUUUCAUCCGUUCGUAGGUUGUGCUCCUGGUACGCACAUGAGCAACACGGUGUUUGUAUCCUAGCAACAUUGGUUAGGAAGUUGGCGUCCGCCGUAAUCCUGGAAGCAUCACAUACUUCACGCUUGUUAUUCGCAUAUGUUUUCUUGGUAAGAGUUCAGAUCUGAAGCAACUCAGGUGUAUACUCUCUUCUUGCCAACCAAAACAACUCCAUACUUGGAACAACUUCAUGUUGCAAUGCCGGGUGUGUUACUUGGGAGUUUGACGAGCUGCUUGGGUGCCUGCCGGAUGUCGAAUUGUCGCUGAAUAAUAGCUAGCAGCUGGUUUGAUGCCGAACUGCAGUAAAUUGGACAGAAGCUGGACUGGCCAAACUGGAGUAAGCUUUGAUGUAUGUGAUUUUUUGGAAAAUUGGUUGUUAGAAAAAAUUCUAAACUUAGUCAUCAAAAUGAAGUGCUAGAACUGUUAGCACACUGUGUUAGCUAGUAGAGAACAAAUGGAAACUAUGAACAUACUUGUAGUUAAUUUGAAGGUUAACUAUGGUUCAAUUGAAAUAGCUAAAUGAGAACUGAAUUGGUUGCUGCA
Molecule: long non-coding RNA, 1091 nt
Organism: Lathyrus oleraceus (garden pea)
Lineage: Eukaryota; Viridiplantae; Streptophyta; Magnoliopsida; Fabales; Fabaceae
Exons: 2
Source: RefSeq, a predicted model, not a curated record